Molecule: ribosomal RNA, 253 nt
Filed under: uncultured bacterium
Lineage: Bacteria
Description: partial 16S ribosomal RNA
Rfam family: Bacterial small subunit ribosomal RNA
Source: RNAcentral
UACAGAGGGUGCGAGCGUUAAUCGGAAUUACUGGGCGUAAAGCGCGCGUAGGCGGCUUUGCAAGUCGGGUGUGAAAUCCCCAGGCUUAACCUGGGAACUGCAUUCGAGACUGCAUUGCUAGAGUAUGGGAGAGGGAAGUGGAAUUCCCGGUGUAGUGGUGAAAUGCGUAGAUAUCGGGAGGAACACCAGUGGCGAAGGCGACUUCCUGGCCUGUUCUUGACGCUGAGGCGCGAAAGCUAGGGGAGCAAACGGG